UACGUAGGGGGCAAGCGUUGUCCGGAAUCAUUGGGCGUAAAGCGCGUGUAGGCGGCCCGGUAAGUCCGCUGUGAAAGUCCAGGGCUCAACCCUGGAAUGCCGGUGGAUACUGUCGGGCUCGAGUCCGGAAGAGGCGAGUGGAAUUCCAGGUGUAGCGGUGAAAUGCGUAGAUAUCUGGAGGAACACCGGUGGCGAAGGCGGCAUCCUGGACCGACACUGACGCUGAGGAGCGAAAGCCAGGGGAGCAAACGGG
RNAcentral lists this ribosomal RNA (253 nucleotides) under uncultured bacterium. RNAcentral's name for it is "partial 16S ribosomal RNA". It matches the Rfam family "Bacterial small subunit ribosomal RNA", at positions 524 to 776 of the family's 1533-position model. The record is from RNAcentral.